Molecule: ribosomal RNA, 497 nt
Filed under: uncultured bacterium
Lineage: Bacteria
Description: partial 16S ribosomal RNA
Rfam family: Bacterial small subunit ribosomal RNA
Source: RNAcentral
GAUGAACGCUGGCGGCGUGCCUAAUACAUGCAAGUCGAGCGAACAGACGAGGAGCUUGCUCCUCUGACGUUAGCGGCGGACGGGUGAGUAACACGUGGAUAACCUACCUAUAAGACUGGGAUAACUUCGGGAAACCGGAGCUAAUACCGGAUAAUAUAUUGAACCGCAUGGUUCAAUAGUGAAAGACGGUUUUGCUGUCACUUAUAGAUGGAUCCGCGCCGCAUUAGCUAGUUGGUAAGGUAACGGCUUACCAAGGCAACGAUGCGUAGCCGACCUGAGAGGGUGAUCGGCCACACUGGAACGGAGACACGGUCCAGACUCCUACGGGAGGCAGCAGUAGGGAAUCUUCCGCAAUGGGCGAAAGCCUGACGGAGCAACGCCGCGUGAGUGAUGAAGGUCUUCGGAGCGUAAAACUCUGUUAUUAGGGAAGAACAAAUGUGUAAGUAACUAUGCACGUCUUGACGGUACCUAAUCAGAAAGCCACGGCUAACUACGUG